This 465-nucleotide ribosomal RNA is filed under the name uncultured bacterium. RNAcentral describes it as "partial 16S ribosomal RNA". It matches the Rfam family "Bacterial small subunit ribosomal RNA", at positions 28 to 507 of the family's 1533-position model. The record is from RNAcentral.
GACGAACGCUGGCGGCGUGCUUAACACAUGCAAGUCGAACGGAAAGGCCCUGCUUGCCGGGUACUCGAGUGGCGAACGGGUGAGUAACACGUGGGUGAUCUGCCCUGCACUUCGGGAUAAGCCUGGGAAACUGGGUCUAAUACCGGAUAGGAGCCAUUUUUAGUGUGAUGGUUGGAAAGUUUUUUCGGUGUAGGAUGAGCUCGCGGCCUAUCAGCUUGUUGGUGGGGUAAUGGCCUACCAAGGCGGCGACGGGUAGCCGGCCUGAGAGGGUGGACGGCCACACUGGGACCGAGAUAAGGCCCAGACGCCGACGGGAGGCAGAAGUGGGGAAUAUUGCACAAUGGGCGCAAGCCGGAUGCAGCGGCGCUGCGUGGGGGAUGACGGCUUUCGGGUUGUAAACUCCUUUCGCUAGGGACGAAGCUUUUUGUGACGGUACCUAGAGAAGAAGCACCGGCUAACUACGUG